AACUUGAGAGUUUGAUCCUGGCUCAGAACGAACGCUGGCGGCAGGCCUAACACAUGCAAGUCGAGCGCCCCGCAAGGGGAGCGGCGGACGGGUGAGUAACACGUGGGAAUUUUCCUCAAGGUACGGAACAACUCAGGGAAACUUGGGCUAAUACCGUAUGAUGUCUAGCGACCAAAGAUUUAUCGCCUUGGGAUAAGCCCGCGUCAGAUUAGGUAGUUGGUGAGGUAACGGCUCACCAAGCCUGUGAUCUGUAGCUGGUCUGAGAGGACGAUCAGCCACAUUGGGACUGAGACACGGCCCAAACUCCUACGGGAGGCAGCAGUGGGGAAUCUUGCGCAAUGGGCGAAAGCCUGACGCAGCC
Molecule: ribosomal RNA, 361 nt
Filed under: Alphaproteobacteria bacterium
Lineage: Bacteria; Pseudomonadati; Pseudomonadota; Alphaproteobacteria
Description: bacterial SSU rRNA
Rfam family: Bacterial small subunit ribosomal RNA
Source: RNAcentral